UACAGAGGUCCCGAGCGUUGUUCGGAUUCACUGGGCGUAAAGGGUGCGUAGGUGGUGAGGUAAGUCGGAUGUGAAAUCUCCGAGCUCAACUCGGAAAUGGCAUUGGAAACUACCUUGCUCGAGGGUUGGAGGGGGGACUGGAAUACUUGGUGUAGCAGUGAAAUGCGUAGAUAUCAAGUGGAACACCGAUGGCGAAGGCAGCCCCCUGGGCUGACACUGACGCUCAGGCACGAAAGCGUGGGGAGCAAACAGG
Molecule: ribosomal RNA, 253 nt
Filed under: uncultured bacterium
Lineage: Bacteria
Description: partial 16S ribosomal RNA
Rfam family: Bacterial small subunit ribosomal RNA
Source: RNAcentral